GCCAUUUGUAGUUCUCUUAAAAAUGUCUGAUAAGUUCAUUAGCCCAUUUAUAGAUUGGAUUACUUGUAUUUUUUUAGAUUUAUUUAUUUAUUAUGAGCAGUGUUCUGCCUGCAUAUAUGCCUGCAUUCCAGAAGAGGGCACCAGAUCUUAUUAUAGAUGGUUAUGAGUCACCAUGUAGUUGCUGAGGAUUGAACUCAGGACCUCUGGAAGAGCAGACAGGUCUCUUAACUGCUAAACCAUCUCUCUUACCCCACAUCAAUACUUUUUUUUUUCAGAGCUGGGGACGGAACCCAGGGCCUUGCGCUUGCUAGGCAAGCGCUCUACCACUGAGCUAAAUCCCCAACCCCACAUCAAUACUUCUUGAACUGUUCCACAAGACAGAAAGGUCCCGAAUGAAGUACCACAUCAAUUCCACAAACUCUUUCUGUGAUUCCAGUGUUACCCUGACACCAAAACUGGAUAAGCACAAAAAACUACGCCAAAGAAUGACGCCCUGGACUCAGAGAGUAUGUAAACGCAAAAAGUGUUUUAUUCUGCAGAAGUCCAGCAUGCUGGGGUCUCCCCAUUACCAAGAUAGAGAAACAAGUGAGCUUCAAAGGCUCCAUUUAAGGCACAUUGGAAUUCCUAGGCUGUCCCCUCAAGGUACAAUGAGAAGGCAACUGCUUUCUAUGCUGCUGCUGCUGUAGGAAGUGAGCAGAGCAUUUGACACCAUGCCUAGCACAGAAGAACAGCUGGGUACGUAUGUAGGAUUCCAGAUGUUAGUCUCUGUAUUUUUAAACUGUUUCUGCCUUGUUAGCGCUAAUUCUAGCCACAUGUUCAGUAUGAAGGCAUGCAAUCUUAUGUCAUGAUCCUGAUCAUGAUCCGAGAAAUCUGAAAAGAAAUCUCGGUUGUGAGGUGAAUGGCUUGAGGAAUGAUGCUGCAUCUCUUCAUUUUCUUUUAACCAAGUCAUAAAUCUAAUUGCAAAAUCAAAAAAAAAAAAUCUCAUUCACACCUCUGCUAUCAACUCCCAGAUCUCAAAUUGAGCCCCAUUCACACAGUACAUUCAGGGGUCAUUAAUGAGUGAACAGCAACAACAAAUUAGAGAAAUAAUGUGAUACGAAGAAGUGGAGACUUACCACAGCCACGGUCACUGCCUUCCAGAAGCUUCUAGGCAUUGUAGUUUGCUAAGGACUUUGGAAGCAGAAAAUUGUAGAAGAUGUUUCUCUAUUUUCAGGUCUGCAGCUGAUUUUUUUCAAAUGUCUUUCUUUGGUUAGCUCAGAGGCAAAAUAAGAAACGAUAGUGUGCAAACAUCUCCCUCAGGUUUGCAGUGUCUCAUUAUACAUUAAACCUAUCUCAAAAUGCCGCUCUAGUUAUGCAUCUGUGGGGGAAGUAUUGUCUUCCCCCAAGGCAUGCUCUUUCUUUGGUCAGAUAGGAGAUUCGAGGGGGUGGGGUGGGACUAGAAAGACAAUUUUUGUUUUCCUAGUAGUGGGAGUCAAGUACGCACUGAGGAAAUAUUUGUCAUGCUUGCCACAUUUUUGUCAUAGCCUUGUCUAACAGAAGCAGGGGCCAGCCUAGAUGAGAGAAGAAUGGCUGCUGUGUAUGGCAGCAGGGAAAGUGCCCUGGCUGCCCGACUCUCUUCCAGGACUGCCAGGACAAUCUUUGUAAACACAGCUUUGCUAUCCUGCGUAAUUCAGGAUUUUUCUUUUCUGCUUCUUUGUUUGAUGUUUAUUCUGUUGUUAUUGAUUGCCUUUAUUUUUUUUUUUUGAGGAAAGGUUUCUUGAUGUAGCUGAGACUGUCCUCAAACUUAAGAAUCUCUUGAGUGCUAGUUAUCCAAGUAUGUACCACCAUAACUAAACUUCACAUUUUCUUGAAGUCUUUGUAGACUGCUUGACAUUCAUGGUUUCCAACCAGCCUCCAGGAUUUCUCCUCCCAAAGCACCUAUCUUAACUAGGGUUUUACUGCUGUGAACAGACACCAUGACCAAGGCAAGUCUUAUAAGAUCAACAUUUAAUUGGGGCUGGUUUAGAGGUUCAGAGAUUCAGUCCAUUAUCAUCAAGGCAGAAGCAUGGCAGCAUCCAGGCAGGCAUGGUGCAGGAGGAGCUGAGAGGUCUACAUCUUCAUCUGAAGGCUGCUAGGAGAAGACUGACUUCCAGACAAGUAGGACAAGGGUAUUAAAGCCCAGGCCCACAGUGAUACAUCUACUCCGACAAAGCUACACCUCCUAAUAAUACCACUCCCUAGGCCUAGCAUAUACAAACCAUCCCACUCCCUCCUCCCUCAGGCACAUGAGUCUAUGGGAGGAGGGGGGCAUACAUAUAAUUUUUAAAAAGUACAUUUAUUGCAACUUCAAAACUCCCCAUAGCCUAUAGCAGUCUCAAUAAUGUUAAAAGUGCAAAGUUCAAAGUCUCUUCUGAGAUUCAUCCAAUCACUUAACUGUAAGCCCCAAAGCAGGACAGAAAACCAGCUGGGAAUACUCCAAACUCUGCAUCUCUGUGUCUGAUGUCAAAGCAGUCUUCAGAUCCUUUUUUCAUCUUUGUUGACUGCAGCAAACUUGUUUCUCCUGGGCUGGUUCCACUUCCUGCUAGCAGCUUCCCUCAGCAGAUAGACCAUGGCUCGGAUAUCGUUAACAUCUUGGGGCCUCCCAGUCAACUAACAUCACAGCUUCUUCUUCUUCUUUUGUUUAAUAGACUUUGUUGUCUGGUUAAGUCUCAUGAAGAACAUUUGGGGUGGGGGACUCAUAAGUAAAAUUUUUAAUUACAUUUUAAAUGUUAUCCCAUUUCCUGGCUUCCCCUCCAGAAACCCCCUAUCCCACCCCCAACCCCCGCUUCUAUCAGGGUGCUGCCUCACACACAUACCCACUCCCUCCCAGACAUUCCCCUACACUGGGACAUCUAGCCUUGACAGGACCAAGGGCUUCCCCUCCCAUAUGCAGCUGGAGCCAUGGGUCUGUCCAUGUGUAUGUAGUCUUUGGGUAGUGGUUUAGUCCCUUGGAACUCUGGUUGACAGGUAUUAUUGUUCUUAUGGAGUUAUAAGCCCCUCCAGAUCCUUCAAUCCUUUCUCUAAUUGCUCCUACGGAGACCCCACUCUCAGUCCAGUGGUUUGCUGCUAGCAUUCACCUCUGUAUUUGUCAUGCUCUGGCUGAGCCUCUCAGGAGAAAGCUAUAUCAGGCUCCUGUCACCGUGCCCUUCUUGGCAUCCAUAAUAUUGUCUGGGUUUGGUGGCUGUAUAUGGGAUGCAUCCCUAUGUGAGGCAGUCUCUGGAUGACCUUUCCUUCAGUCUCUGCUCCAUAUUUUGUCACUGUAUUUCCUCUUGUGAAUAUUUUUGCUCCCCCUUCUAAGAAGGUCUGAAGCAUCUACACUUUGGUCUUCCUUCUUCUUGAGCUUCAUGCGGUUUGUGAAUUGUAUCUUGGGUAUUCCAAGCUUUGGGGUUAAUAUCCACAUAUCAGUGAGUACAGUACAUACCAUGUGUAUUCUUUUGUGAUUGGGUUACCUCACUCAGGAUGAUAUUUUUUAAGUUCCAUCCAUUUGCUUAAGAAUUUCACAAAAUCUGGGCUGGAGAGAUGGCUCAGCGGUUGAGAGCACCCGACUACUCUUCCAGAGGUCCUGAGUUCAAUUCCCAGCAACCACAUGGUGGCUCACAACCAUCGGUAAAGAGAUCCGAUGCCCUCUUCUGGUGUAUCUGAAGACAGCUACAGUGUACUUAUAUAUAAUAAAUGAAUAAAUCUUUAAAAAAAA
Non-coding RNA from Rattus norvegicus (Norway rat), 3712 nucleotides. NCBI's taxonomy places the organism in Eukaryota, Metazoa, Chordata, Mammalia, Rodentia, Muridae. The record is from RefSeq and is a predicted model, not a curated record.